Molecule: unclassified non-coding RNA, 424 nt
Filed under: Hevea brasiliensis (rubber tree)
Lineage: Eukaryota; Viridiplantae; Streptophyta; Magnoliopsida; Malpighiales; Euphorbiaceae
Source: RNAcentral
UUUUCUUUCUAUUUUGUUAAAAAAUGAGUGAGGAGAGAGGUUACAGUGCGACUCCCCAGUCGUUGGUGGUUGUUUACAGUGAAGAUUCAAGUACUCAACAACUUUUCUCAUAUUCCAGCCAUCGGGGCUAGAAUGUGGGAGGCGAUCCUGAGGUCAGUGGACCGUCUCGCUCAUUACCUACUGGUCUUGCUGGGCCUGAAAUCGUCUCCGGAGCUGCUUUUGCUCAAAAUGUGGGGGUGAGUACAUCUGGGUUGAUUGUUCCUUCGGGAGUGAGUGAAAUCGUUUCCAUCCUAAACGGGUGGGAUCUACUAGAUCCCCUCAAGUCACUUAGAAUAGAUAAGGACAGGUUUCGCGUAUCACUCGCCGGACAAAGGGGACAAGCUGACAGUAUUUUUCUUCUCUCAGUCAGGGUGGCCGUUUAUGA